UCAAGAAACUUCCACAAUGGGCGAAAGCCUGAUGGAGCGACGUCGCGUGAUGGACGAAGUGCUUCGGCAUGUAAACAUCUUUUUAUGUGGGAUGAAAUUAUUGACAGUACCACAUGAAUAAGGGGCUCCUAACUCUGUGCCAGCAGGAGCGGUAAUACAGAGGCCCCAAGCGUUAUCCGGAAUCACUGGGCGUAAAGGGUGUCGAGGCGGUUGUAUUAGUCGUUCGUAAAAUCUACGAGCUUAACUUGUAGGCGGCGAACGAAACGGUACGACUUGAGGUUUGGAGAGGUGCGUGGAACUCACGGUGUAGGGGUGAAAUCCGUUGAUAUCGUGGGGAACACCAAAGGCGAAGGCAGCGCACUGGCCAAAAUCUGACGCUCACACACGAAAGCUAGGGUAGCGAAGAGGAUUAGAUACCCGAGUAGUCCCUGAGCGGGCUGGCAAGGCGCAU
RNAcentral lists this ribosomal RNA (451 nucleotides) under uncultured bacterium. RNAcentral describes it as "bacterial SSU rRNA". It matches the Rfam family "Bacterial small subunit ribosomal RNA", at positions 355 to 825 of the family's 1533-position model. The record is from RNAcentral.